UCGUCGCAGCUUACCAUGCAGUCGGAGGGAGUGCUUGGGGGCUUGCUCCUGGGGGGUGAGUGGCGAACGGGUGAGUAACACGUGAGGAACCUGCCCUCUUCUUCGGGAUAACGGUUGGAAACGGCUGCUAAUACCGGGUAUUCACUGGUCCUCGCAUGGGGGUUGGUGGAAAGGGGUUUUUCUGGUGGGGGAUGGGCUCGCGGCUUAUCAGCUUGUUGGUGGGGUGAUGGCUUACCAAGGCUUUGAGGGGUAGCCGGGCUGAGAGGGUGACCGGUCACAUUGGGACUGAGAUACGGCCCAGACUCCUACGGGAGGCAGCAGUGGGGAAUUUUGCACAAUGGGCGCAAGCCUGAUGCAGCGACGCCGCGUGAGGGAUGGAGGCCUUCGGGUUGUGAACCUCUUUCGCUCAUGGUCAAGCCGCAGUUUUGUCUGUGGUGAGGGUAGUGGGU
Molecule: ribosomal RNA, 449 nt
Filed under: uncultured Actinomyces sp.
Lineage: Bacteria; Bacillati; Actinomycetota; Actinomycetes; Actinomycetales; Actinomycetaceae
Description: bacterial SSU rRNA
Rfam family: Bacterial small subunit ribosomal RNA
Source: RNAcentral